Molecule: microRNA precursor, 73 nt
Filed under: Chlorocebus sabaeus (green monkey)
Lineage: Eukaryota; Metazoa; Chordata; Mammalia; Primates; Cercopithecidae
Description: miRNA (ENSCSAG00000021373.1)
Source: RNAcentral
UAUUAGGUUGGUGCAAAAAGUAAUUGUGGUUUUUAAAACUGCAAAAACUGCAAUUGCUUUUGCAUCAAUCUAA